GCUUGUCUCAAAGAUUAAGCCAUGCAUGUCUAAGUAUAAGCAAUCUUAUACGUGAAACUGCGAAUGGCUCAUUAUAUCAGUUAUAGUUUCUUUGAUGGUCCUUGCUACUUGGAUAACCGUAGUAAUUCUAGAGCUAAUACAUGCAGCAAUCCCUGACUUAGGAAAGGGUGUACUUAUUAGAUAGAAACCAAUAGGGGCAACCCUUAUAUUGGUGAUUCAUAGUAAUUUUCGGAUCGAUCUUUGAUCGAUGCAUCAUUCAAGUUUCUGCCCUAUCAGCUUUGGAUGGUAGGGUAUUGGCCUACCAUGGCAUUUACGGGUAACGGAGAAUUAGGGUUCGAUUCCGGAGAGGGAGCCUGAGAAAUGGCUACCACAUCCAAGGAAGGCAGCAGG
This 390-nucleotide ribosomal RNA is filed under the name Ochromonas danica. Its description in RNAcentral is "partial small subunit ribosomal RNA". It matches the Rfam family "Eukaryotic small subunit ribosomal RNA", at positions 30 to 432 of the family's 1831-position model. Lineage: Eukaryota; Chrysophyceae; Chromulinales; Chromulinaceae. The record is from RNAcentral.